UUCCAACUUCAUUGCAAUACCAAAGACGCUGUCAACCCACAGGUCGACUCAACCAGUGAAGUACUUCCUGAGGCAUUGCAAGCCAGGCUGGUCCAUGAACAAAGCCCCGGGUGAGAGCUGAGGAGCGUUGCAAGCCCGAGGGCGGGAGCUACGGACAGGAUGUGGAGGUUGCAGUCGCUGCUCACAGGCAAGUGAUGGUUGAACUGGACUUCACAGCACUCCACUUCAGUGCAGGGACUCGGAGUCAUCACUUUUGCCGAUUCAUGAUGUGGGGGUCAUCACAUUCGCGCACAGAUGGCUCUGGUGCUGGAAUCCAUCUCAGUUUCCUGCACCGACUAGGUCUGUGGUGCGGGACAAAUGGCAGCACUGAGCAUUUCCUGUGCAAAGCGACAGCCAGUGUGAGUGCAUUGCGAAGCGCGAGAUGACGUGAGAUGAAGACGAGAACAUGCGAGCCGAGUGUGUGGCGGCGCUGUAACCACACCUUGAAUGUGCAGAUGCGAGACUCUGAGGUGGAGUUUGUGAGCAUGUGUGUCAAAGGUGGGGUUGCAAUGGCAGUGAUGAGCUGUUCGGACUUGCUUGUCCAUGCCCAGUGUGCUGUGGUAUGUUUUUGUCCUGAGUGAAGCAGGCAAGCGUGUGUGAAGACGUGAUGUCAUGUUGGGCAGAAGGAGGAAGGAUUUUAGUUCCACGACGUGAGUGUCGUGGCUAAUGAGAAUGUUGGAGAGGCAGAGCAACCUAGGUAUCCAGCCGGUUCAGCGAAUGCACCCGUUUCACGGAUGUAAGCGUCGAUGUGAGUGGUGGCGUGAAGAACAGUUGACCCACAGGGAUUGGAGAUGGAUGUUUGGGCGAGUAUGUUGUAUUGUCCUGGAGGACGGUCUAAUGUUUCUUCGGAGACAUCUGAUAAAAUUGGAACGAUACAGAGAAGAUUAGUAUGGCCCCUGCGCAAGGAUGACACGCACAAUUCGAGUAAUGGUCCUAAUUUUUUUUUUUCCUUUUCUCUGACCUUUCGCUGUUUCUUUCUUUCAUCGCUUGCCACUUCAGCCGCCUGGGUUUUCUUCUGAUAACGGCUGCUGUUCACAAACGUUGUUCUCCACUCCAGCACUUAUGUGAGGGUAGUUCAAUGUUCGUUGAACACCAACAGAUCUAACACCGACCUCUUCCAAUUGUACAAUGUUGUCCAAGCCAUGAGUUAGUUUCUCCUCGUUAAUACAUGCUUAUCAACAUUGCUUUGCAUUUUUUACAAUGUUGCCCAUUUGUGCA
Non-coding RNA from Physcomitrium patens, 1257 nucleotides. Lineage: Eukaryota; Viridiplantae; Streptophyta; Bryopsida; Funariales; Funariaceae. The record is from RefSeq and is a predicted model, not a curated record.